UACGGGGGGGGCAAGCGUUGUUCGGAAUUACUGGGCGUAAAGGGCUCGUAGGCGGCCAACUAAGUCAGACGUGAAAUCCCUCGGCUUAACCGGGGAACUGCGUCUGAUACUGGAUGGCUGGAGUUUGGGAGAGGGAUGCGGAAUUCCAGGUGUAGCGGUGAAAUGCGUAGAUAUCUGGAGGAACACCGGUGGCGAAGGCGGCAUCCUGGACCGGUAUUGACGCUGAGGCGCGAAAGCUAGGGGAGCAAACGGG
Molecule: ribosomal RNA, 253 nt
Filed under: uncultured bacterium
Lineage: Bacteria
Description: partial 16S ribosomal RNA
Rfam family: Bacterial small subunit ribosomal RNA
Source: RNAcentral